RNAcentral lists this ribosomal RNA (447 nucleotides) under uncultured bacterium. RNAcentral's name for it is "bacterial SSU rRNA". It matches the Rfam family "Bacterial small subunit ribosomal RNA", at positions 355 to 825 of the family's 1533-position model. The record is from RNAcentral.
UGGGGAAUAUUGCGCAAUGGGCGCAAGCCUGAUCCAGCCAUGCCGCGUGAGUGACGAAGGCCUUAGGGUUGUAAAGCUCUUUUGGCGGGGAAGAUAAUGACGGUACCCGCAGAAUAAGCUCCGGCUAACUUCGUGCCAGCAGCCGCGGUAAUACAGAGGUGGCAAGCGUUGUUCGGAAUUACUGGGCGUAAAGGGCGCGUAGGCGGUCUUGUAAGUCCCGUGUGAAAGCCCCCGGCUCAACCGGGGAAUGGCACGGGAAACUGCGAGGCUUGAGUUCGGGAGAGGGAAGCGGAAUUCCGGGUGUAGCGGUGAAAUGCGUAGAUAUCCGGAGGAACACCAGUGGCGAAGGCGGCUUCCUGGACCGAUACUGACGCUGAGGUGCGAAAGCUAGGGGAGCAAACGGGAUUAGAUACCCCCGUAGUCCCUGAGCGGGCUGGCAAGGCGCAU